This 1540-nucleotide ribosomal RNA is filed under the name Salmonella enterica. Its description in RNAcentral is "bacterial SSU rRNA". It matches the Rfam family "Bacterial small subunit ribosomal RNA". Lineage: Bacteria; Pseudomonadati; Pseudomonadota; Gammaproteobacteria; Enterobacterales; Enterobacteriaceae. The record is from RNAcentral. RNAcentral also lists the same sequence under 2 other names.
AAAUUGAAGAGUUUGAUCAUGGCUCAGAUUGAACGCUGGCGGCAGGCCUAACACAUGCAAGUCGAACGGUAGCACAGAGAGCUUGCUCUCGGGUGACGAGUGGCGGACGGGUGAGUAAUGUCUGGGAAACUGCCUGAUGGAGGGGGAUAACUACUGGAAACGGUGGCUAAUACCGCAUAACGUCGCAAGACCAAAGAGGGGGACCUUCGGGCCUCUUGCCAUCAGAUGUGCCCAGAUGGGAUUAGCUAGUUGGUGAGGUAACGGCUCACCAAGGCGACGAUCCCUAGCUGGUCUGAGAGGAUGACCAGCCACACUGGAACUGAGACACGGUCCAGACUCCUACGGGAGGCAGCAGUGGGGAAUAUUGCACAAUGGGCGCAAGCCUGAUGCAGCCAUGCCGCGUGUAUGAAGAAGGCCUUCGGGUUGUAAAGUACUUUCAGCGGGGAGGAAGGUGUUGUGGUUAAUAACCGCAGCAAUUGACGUUACCCGCAGAAGAAGCACCGGCUAACUCCGUGCCAGCAGCCGCGGUAAUACGGAGGGUGCAAGCGUUAAUCGGAAUUACUGGGCGUAAAGCGCACGCAGGCGGUCUGUCAAGUCGGAUGUGAAAUCCCCGGGCUCAACCUGGGAACUGCAUUCGAAACUGGCAGGCUUGAGUCUUGUAGAGGGGGGUAGAAUUCCAGGUGUAGCGGUGAAAUGCGUAGAGAUCUGGAGGAAUACCGGUGGCGAAGGCGGCCCCCUGGACAAAGACUGACGCUCAGGUGCGAAAGCGUGGGGAGCAAACAGGAUUAGAUACCCUGGUAGUCCACGCCGUAAACGAUGUCUACUUGGAGGUUGUGCCCUUGAGGCGUGGCUUCCGGAGCUAACGCGUUAAGUAGACCGCCUGGGGAGUACGGCCGCAAGGUUAAAACUCAAAUGAAUUGACGGGGGCCCGCACAAGCGGUGGAGCAUGUGGUUUAAUUCGAUGCAACGCGAAGAACCUUACCUGGUCUUGACAUCCACAGAACUUUCCAGAGAUGGAUUGGUGCCUUCGGGAACUGUGAGACAGGUGCUGCAUGGCUGUCGUCAGCUCGUGUUGUGAAAUGUUGGGUUAAGUCCCGCAACGAGCGCAACCCUUAUCCUUUGUUGCCAGCGGUUAGGCCGGGAACUCAAAGGAGACUGCCAGUGAUAAACUGGAGGAAGGUGGGGAUGACGUCAAGUCAUCAUGGCCCUUACGACCAGGGCUACACACGUGCUACAAUGGCGCAUACAAAGAGAAGCGACCUCGCGAGAGCAAGCGGACCUCAUAAAGUGCGUCGUAGUCCGGAUUGGAGUCUGCAACUCGACUCCAUGAAGUCGGAAUCGCUAGUAAUCGUGGAUCAGAAUGCCACGGUGAAUACGUUCCCGGGCCUUGUACACACCGCCCGUCACACCAUGGGAGUGGGUUGCAAAAGAAGUAGGUAGCUUAACCUUCGGGAGGGCGCUUACCACUUUGUGAUUCAUGACUGGGGUGAAGUCGUAACAAGGUAACCGUAGGGGAACCUGCGGUUGGAUCACCUCCUUA